This 414-nucleotide ribosomal RNA is filed under the name uncultured bacterium. RNAcentral's name for it is "bacterial SSU rRNA". It matches the Rfam family "Bacterial small subunit ribosomal RNA", at positions 358 to 769 of the family's 1533-position model. The record is from RNAcentral.
GGAAUAUUGGUCAAUGGGCGCAAGCCUGAACCAGCCAUGCCGCGUGCAGGAUGAAGGUCCUAUGGAUUGUAAACUGCUUUUGUACGGGAAGAAACCCCUUUACGUGUAAAGGGCUGACGGUACCGUAAGAAUAAGGAUCGGCUAACUCCGUGCCAGCAGCCGCGGUAAUACGGAGGAUCCGAGCGUUAUCCGGAAUCAUUGGGUUUAAAGGGUCCGUAGGCGGCCCGGUAAGUCAGUGGUGAAAUCUCACGGCUCAACCGUGAAAUGGCCAUUGAUACUGUCGGGCUUGAAUUGUUGGGAAGUAACUAGAAUAUGUAGUGUAGCGGUUAAAUGCUUAGAUAUUACAUGGAAUACCGAUUGCGAAGGCAGGUUACUACCAAUACAUUGACGCUGAUGGACGAAAGCGUGGGGAGC